This 75-nucleotide transfer RNA is filed under the name Candidatus Nealsonbacteria bacterium CG_4_10_14_0_2_um_filter_35_20. Its description in RNAcentral is "tRNA-Arg". It matches the Rfam family "tRNA". From Rfam's summary of the family: Transfer RNA (tRNA) molecules are approximately 80 nucleotides in length. Their secondary structure includes four short double-helical elements and three loops (D, anti-codon, and T loops). RNAcentral also lists the same sequence under 4 other names. The record is from RNAcentral. Lineage: Bacteria; Candidatus Nealsoniibacteriota.
GCCCCCGUAGUUUAAUGGAUAAAGCGUAACUUUGCGGAAGUUAAGAUGAGGGUUCGAUUCCUUCCGGGGGCGCAA